Molecule: unclassified non-coding RNA, 573 nt
Filed under: Bombus terrestris (buff-tailed bumblebee)
Lineage: Eukaryota; Metazoa; Arthropoda; Insecta; Hymenoptera; Apidae
Description: misc RNA ENSBTSG00005033542.1
Source: RNAcentral
UACCAGAAACGGUGGGAACCGGUGAGUGAGGUAGAAAGAGAAAGAAAAGACAAGUGAAUCUUCCUCGCGAUGAAUGGAACUAGAAAAUAUGAAUGGUCUUGGUCAGCGUUUUCGAGCUAUAGCGUUCAACGAGAUAUCCAGUACAUGAAUGUCAUGGUCUCGAAUAAUUCGUAAAUAACGAACGAAUGCUUUGUCGGUAUAAUGAUAUGACGAAAAGACGAAACAAAAUGACGAAGGACUUAGAGUAAACGAUUUAAAAAAUGAUAUCUCUAUAUCCAAGAUUUCGGAUAAAGAAGAGAAGUAAAAGAAAAGGUGACCGCAAUACGAAAAUAGGGUCGCUAGAAGACCGGAACGCCUUUCCUCCUUAUUGCGUUCACUGUACAGCAUUUCCGCAGGAAGUUGGUGCAGUGUCUGUGACGAGUUCGUUCGUUUUACUGGUUACCAACUUCUUACUAGUACAUUUAUCCUUUUGACUAUUAUUUAUAAACAAAGUAUAUCUUCUAUCUUAUAAAUAAUCUACACUAUACCAUAUCUAUACUAUAUCUUUUAUAAAUAAAGCAAGUCUUCUUAUAU